ACCACAACGGAGUGGGCAGAUAUUUCCAUGUUAAACGUCGGUGUUGCUUUCCAUGUUAACACGUUGGACCAGUCAACGCCGGGCGGACGCGGAUGAUAUCAUGGGCCAAAAUGUGCUGAUAUUACAGCAUGCAUAUGUAACUGCAUGAUAAAGUGAUGACUUCCGUGUUGCCGAUGCUGAGCGCUGGUGGAUGAGACAGAGCAAUUCUACAACACAAACUAACGAGGCAUACCAUGAAGGAACGAGUGGAGCAAAUGGCAAAAGCUUUACAGAGUUGCAUUUGUACUAUCUCCACACCGCAUUUAUGAAUUGGGCAAAGUUGCAGUUGUAUUAUAUCUAUCAUAGAAUUGAUGACUUCAAAAUUGCACCUACCCAACGGUUCAACUUCAAUUUUGACGCAUGGAUUGAACUGGCGAGUGGUGACUACGUGACGGAGCUUAAUGAUAUGAAGUAAGG
This 456-nucleotide long non-coding RNA is filed under the name Vitis vinifera (wine grape). RNAcentral's name for it is "long non-coding RNA (VVIN_LNC008235)". Lineage: Eukaryota; Viridiplantae; Streptophyta; Magnoliopsida; Vitales; Vitaceae. The record is from RNAcentral.